AAAACAACUUUUAUGCAUACUCCGCAUACUGUAGCUCAAGUGAUACCAGCUCUCCACAUCACAUUAUAAAUACUUCUUAUUUUUCAACUUGUUGGAAAACGAAUCUCAUCUUCUCAAUUUCAAACUAUCAGGAGUUCUUGCAAUGAAUGAUUAACGCCUUGAUUCAAGUGAAUAUGAUGAUUAUGUUGAAAAAGUGGAAGAAAUAUUCCAGUUAAAAUAUUCCAUUGAAAAUACAAAUAACAAAAUUCUUCUUAUUUAAGAUGCUUGUGUUAUUGAAGUAUUCAUAACACUGAAAAUUCAGAAAACUUAAAGGUAAUGUCAAAAGAGAGAAUUGCACUGUUAGUAUCAAAAAGAACAGAAAAUGUAUAUUUACAUUAAAAAGUACUAGAAAUAAUAAUAUAUUUCAAGGAGAUAAUCUGGAUUGUUUGUACGUUAAUAGUUGUAUUUACUUUAUAAGAAGAGACGAAUUGCAGAAUGUUCUAAAGUUGAGUUGAAUAAAGGAACUGGCACAAUUGUAAAGGGAAUUGAAUUUGUUUUAUAAUCAUGUCGAGUGCAGCGUCAAGCUUUUCAUAAAUGCUCAUUCAUUGGAAAUCAUAAAAUGUUAUUGUUUGAAAACAUAAUGAAGUAAUGCAACUCAGUUCCUCAAACUGUUUUUGAUAAUAUAAACCUUCCAGAACAUCCAAUUCAGAUGGAGACGAUUGGCAAAUGUAAAAAAUUCAAAGUUUUGUUUCAGAAGUAUUCAGAGUGUCACAAAAAAAUGAAUUCGUGCCGAAUGUUCAAUUCAACAGUACAAAAGUAUAAAGUUGUAGACUAUAUAUACCUUUAUAAACCUUUAUAGACCUAUAUGUUGUACCUAUUCAAUUGACUACGAUUAAAAUAUCGAAAAAUAGGUUUCCAAAAGGAAGUUGUGACGUAACCUAUGUUAUCCU
Hydra vulgaris (swiftwater hydra) is the source of this 929-nucleotide non-coding RNA. Lineage: Eukaryota; Metazoa; Cnidaria; Hydrozoa; Anthoathecata; Hydridae. The record is from RefSeq and is a predicted model, not a curated record.